RNAcentral lists this ribosomal RNA (253 nucleotides) under uncultured bacterium. RNAcentral describes it as "partial 16S ribosomal RNA". It matches the Rfam family "Bacterial small subunit ribosomal RNA", at positions 524 to 776 of the family's 1533-position model. The record is from RNAcentral.
UACAGAGGGGGCAAGCGUUGUUCGGAAUUACUGGGCGUAAAGGGCGCGUAGGCGGCCUGUUAAGUCGAACGUGAAAUCCCCGGGCUCAACCCGGGAACUGCGUCCGAUACUGGCAGGCUUGAAUCCGGGAGAGGGAUGCGGAAUUCCAGGUGUAGCGGUGAAAUGCGUAGAUAUCUGGAGGAACACCGGUGGCGAAGGCGGCAUCCUGGACCGGCAUUGACGCUGAGGCGCGACAGCGUGGGGAGCAAACAGG